GACUCGACACGCCGACGCCGUCUGGUGGAUGGCUUGGCUUGAGCGCCGAGGAAGGGCGCGGCAAGCUGCGAUAAGCCCCGGGGAGGCGCAUGCAGCCUUCGAUCCGGGGAUUCCCGAAUGGGACCUCCCAUUGUAGGGGCCCUAAAAGCCUCUACAAUGCUCCCAAUCGGGAGCGGGAACCCCCCGAACGGAAACAUCUUAUUAGGGGGAGGAAGAGAAACCAACAGGGAUCCCCUGAGUAGCGGCGAGCGAAAGGGGGAGAGUCCAAACCAAACCCUAUGGGGAAACCCAUGGGGGAUGUGGUGUUGUUGGGGCCCAGCCGCCUCCUCCUCGGUGAAGCUGAAGUGGCCUGGAACGGCCCGCCGUAGAGGGUGAAAGCCCCGUAAGCGUAAGCCGAGUGGAGUUGGGCUGGUAGCCCAGAGUACCGUACCCCGGCUUGGGUACGGGAAUCCGGGAGCCAUCAACUUCCAAGACUAAACACGUCUCAAGACCGAUAGCGAACAAGUACGGUGACGGAAAGCUGAAAAGCACCCCGGAAGGGGGGUGAAAAGAGCCUGAAACCAGACGGUUACACGAACGUGCGCGGCCCGGAAGGGUAGAGCCCUCCCAAAGUUGAACGCGGCGACGCGGGAU
RNAcentral lists this ribosomal RNA (633 nucleotides) under Candidatus Bathyarchaeota archaeon. Its description in RNAcentral is "partial 23S ribosomal RNA". It matches the Rfam family "Archaeal large subunit ribosomal RNA", at positions 1 to 616 of the family's 2987-position model. Lineage: Archaea; Thermoproteati; Candidatus Bathyarchaeota. The record is from RNAcentral.